GCGGAGGAAAAGAAAAUAACAAUGAUUUCCCUAGUAACGGCGAGUGAAGAGGAAAAAGCUCAAAGUUGGAACCUAUUUGGCUUAGCUAAAUCGGAUUGUAAACUGUAGAAGUGUUUUCCUGACACGCCAGAUAAAUAAGUCCUUUGGAACAGGGCAUCAUAGAGGGUGAGAAUCCCGUCUUUGGUCUGAGCAGUUGUCUUUUGUGAUACAUUUUCAAAGAGUCAGGUUGUUUGGGAAUGCAGCCUAAAUUGGGUGGUAAAUCUCACCUAAAGCUAAAUAUUUGCGAGAGACCGAUAGCGAACAAGUACCGUGAGGGAAAGAUGAAAAGAACUUUGAAAAGAGAGUUAAACAGUAUGUGAAAUUGUUAAAAGGGAACCGUUUGGAGCCAGACUGGCUUGACUGUAAUCAAUCUAGAUCCUUCUGGAUGCACUUGCAGUUUAUGCCUGCCAAUGACAAUUUGUUUUGAGGGAAAAAACUGGGAAGAAUGUGGCCCCUUUUGGGGUGUUAUAGCUUCUUAGAAAAUACCUUGGAGCGGAUUGAGGAUCGCAGUGAAUGUCUUUUAGGCAAGAUUGCUGGGUGCUUUUGCUGAUAAAUGCUAGAAUUUCUGCUUUUAGGUGGUGCUA
RNAcentral lists this ribosomal RNA (623 nucleotides) under Circinella simplex. RNAcentral's name for it is "LSU rRNA". It matches the Rfam family "Eukaryotic large subunit ribosomal RNA", at positions 50 to 631 of the family's 3401-position model. The record is from RNAcentral. Lineage: Eukaryota; Fungi; Mucoromycota; Mucoromycetes; Mucorales; Lichtheimiaceae.